This 424-nucleotide unclassified non-coding RNA is filed under the name Senecio dolichocephalus. RNAcentral's name for it is "partial contains external transcribed spacer and 18S ribosomal RNA". The stretch from base 369 to 424 matches the Rfam family "Eukaryotic small subunit ribosomal RNA", at positions 1 to 56 of the family's 1831-position model. The record is from RNAcentral. Lineage: Eukaryota; Viridiplantae; Streptophyta; Magnoliopsida; Asterales; Asteraceae.
AACUUCCACCUGGCUUACCUCCNUCAUUUAUGCGUCAUGACUUGUAUUGUCUUGAGCGUAUUGUGGGUUUCCUGUGUUGCAUACCUAACUAAUGGUAUCGUUUUGGUUGAUCGAAGUCCCUUUUCGUCUUGUGUUGCCUUUGUGAUGCAUGAUGAACCUUGAAGCGGUCUCUAUGUUCCACCACGUUGAUGCUAGUGUUUCGAUGUUGUGGCCCAUUGAGUGUUGCUUGGUUUCGUGGAUACAGAACAUGAUUUGGGCAUAGGGUCACUUGUGACUCUUGUUCUGUCCUUUACCGGUGUUCUUUAUAACGACGGUUCAUGUGCGUCUAGGCUUUGUACCUGCGCCAUGUUCUUGUUGAAGAGGAAUGCUACCUGGUUGAUCCUGCCAGUAGUCAUAUGCUUGUCUCAAAGAUUAAGCCAUGCAU